GACGAACGCUGGCGGCGUGCUUAACACAUGCAAGUCGAACGGAAAGGCCCUGCUUUUGUGGGGUGCUCGAGUGGCGAACGGGUGGGUAACACGAGAGUAACCUGCCCUGGACUCUGGGAUAACUUCAGGAAACUGGGGCUAAUACCAGAUAGGAGCUCCUGCGGCAGGGUGGGGGUUGGAAAGUUUCGGCGGUUGGGGAUGGACUCGCGGCUUAUCAGCUUGUUGGGGGGGUAGUGGCUUACCAAGGCUUUGACGGGUAGCCGGCCUGAGAGGGUGACCGGCCACAUUGGGACUGAGAUACGGCCCAGACUCCUACGGGAGGCAGCAGUGGGGAAUAUUGCACAAUGGGCGGAAGCCUGAUGCAGCAACGCCGCGUGCGGGAUGACGGCCUUCGGGUUGUAGACCGCUUUCGCCUGUGACGAAGCGUGAGUGACGGUAAUGGGUAAAGAAGCACCGGCUAACUACGUG
RNAcentral lists this ribosomal RNA (468 nucleotides) under uncultured bacterium. Its description in RNAcentral is "partial 16S ribosomal RNA". It matches the Rfam family "Bacterial small subunit ribosomal RNA", at positions 28 to 507 of the family's 1533-position model. The record is from RNAcentral.